This 526-nucleotide long non-coding RNA is filed under the name Bos taurus (domestic cattle). Its description in RNAcentral is "long non-coding RNA NONBTAT000941". The record is from RNAcentral. Lineage: Eukaryota; Metazoa; Chordata; Mammalia; Artiodactyla; Bovidae.
GUGAAUUUAAGUGCUUCUGCCAUUUAAAUGAUACAACCAACCAAUGGAGUAGAAUCUAGAGAGAAAUAGGUUACUGAGAGUUAGACAGGUGGGAAGAUUUUAUAGAAAUGACAGUAUUUAAACUGAUCUUGGUGUUAGGAGUCAGCAUGCUGCCCCUAAUUGGUAAAAGGCCCUGACCCAUGUUCUCAGGCAAGGAACACUGCCUGGUUGGCUGUGUGGACACAAGGAGCAUUUAAAGGUAGAGUAGGAAAGGCAGCCUUAGGUCAGGUUAUAAAGGGCUUUACAGGCCUGUCUGAGGUGUAGUUUCUCGCUGAGCAUGUGGGAGUUGUAAAGUUCUGCUUCCUACAGAGGCUGGUUUUGAGACAGAGGAGGCUACAGCCCAGUGACCCAAGAACGAAACUAGGAAACUAGUUAAAUCCUGUUACCUAAACCAAGAUUUCCUAAAAUCUUCCACUGAAUAUUAAUAUUCCUCCUGGUAUUGAUUAAUUAAUGUUCCCUGGGGGGAGGGGAAGAAGGGAAGUUCACC